This 105-nucleotide small RNA is filed under the name Marmota monax (woodchuck). The record is from RNAcentral. Lineage: Eukaryota; Metazoa; Chordata; Mammalia; Rodentia; Sciuridae.
GCUGGGUGUGGUGGUGCAUGCCUGUAAUCCCGCUGACUCCGGAAGCUGAGGCAGGAGAAUUGAGGUCAAGGCGAGCCUCAACAACUUAGCAAAACCCUGUCUCAA